Molecule: ribosomal RNA, 479 nt
Filed under: uncultured bacterium
Lineage: Bacteria
Description: bacterial SSU rRNA
Rfam family: Bacterial small subunit ribosomal RNA
Source: RNAcentral
GACUAGGACGAACGCUGGCGGCGUGCCUAACACAUGCAAGUCGAGCGAGGAGAUCCUUCGGGAUGAUCCUAGCGGCGGACGGGUGAGUAACACGUGGGCAACCUGCCUCAUAGAGAGGAAUAGCCUUCCGAAAGGGAGAUUAAUACCUCAUAACAUUGCAGUUUCGCAUGGAACAGCAAUUAAAGGAGUAAUCCGCUAUGAGAUGGGCCCGCGGCGCAUUAGCUAGUUGGUGAGGUAACGGCUCACCAAGGCGACGAUGCGUAGCCGACCUGAGAGGGUGAUCGGCCACAUUGGGACUGAGACACGGCCCAGACUCCUACGGGAGGCAGCAGUGGGGAAUAUUGCACAAUGGGGGAAACCCUGAUGCAAGCAACGCCGCGUGAGUGAUGACGGCCUUCGGGUUGUAAAGCUCUGUCUUCAGGGACGAUAAUGACGGUACCUGAGGAGGAAGCCACGGCUAACUACGUGCCAGCCGCAGC